AUCUUAUGUGGAGUUCUCUAUCUACCUAAGGACUUUAAGGCCUUCUGAAGUUUUGCAUUCACAUAUAGAAUUUGCUAGCCACCUGUGUUGUUGCAAAAAGAGAGUCAAUACUUGUUUUACGUUACGAGACAACCUGGGCAAGUCUGUUUAAAAACUGCAAACAUAGUGGUGCUAUGAAGCUCUUUGAAGAUGUGAGCGUCCUUGAGCCAAAUGUUUAAACUGCCCAAAGCAUCAGACAUGCUUAUAUAAGCUCCUUUCUAUUUCACUGAAACCCUGAGGUCCUGUUGCAGGAUGGUGCUGAGAGAAGGGGUUCUGACAUUGUUUCGUGCCUGAGGAAUUUCUACGUUGCUGCUGCCAAAGUCAAUGAUGUGAAAGCUGCUGCCUUUAGCUAGAACAAGAGUGAAUGUGACAUUUGUCAAAGAAUAACUUAAGUUGAACAUAAGAACAUUUUGUGACACGCUUCCCCUGAGAAACACUUCCUCUCAAGAAGAAGGAUAAAGACCAGAAAAAAUCAGCACAAAUAUCAGUGAAUGACAAGUGCAAUCCUGACUGCUUCUUACCAAAUAGCAAGCAAGCGAAAGUUUGCUCAUCUUUCCUAUGUGGUAAUUCACUUGCAUUUCCCAGGCAUUUGGGAUUAUUUUUUUUCCCAAAUAAACACAAAGCAGAAAAUCACCUACGUGAAGUAGUUUAAAGAAGAAUGGUUAUUGACCUGAAAGGGAGGAAAACAAGAAUGCGUGUUUCCAGUAUGAUUCAUGUUAACUGAGGAUAAUGUGACAACUGAAGUCCAUUGCUUUGCACUGUAUUGUAAGAGAAAUUAUUUUAUCAUAGAAAUGUAGCCUUUAAGAUGACGAAUGUCUUCUUGUGCGUGACCUUCUUCCACAUCCUUUUCUUCAAAGUGUAAAUGCCAAGAAGGUUCUAGGAAAGGUAGUAAUUAUGAUUUUUGAAGGCUGUCUUUUGUGCUUGAAUUUAAUAAAUUGUUGUA
Long non-coding RNA from Numida meleagris (helmeted guineafowl), 982 nucleotides. RefSeq lists it as uncharacterized. The record is from RefSeq and is a predicted model, not a curated record. The transcript is spliced from 4 exons. NCBI's taxonomy places the organism in Eukaryota, Metazoa, Chordata, Aves, Galliformes, Numididae.